RNAcentral lists this ribosomal RNA (194 nucleotides) under Halobacillus sp. CJ4. RNAcentral describes it as "partial 16S ribosomal RNA". It matches the Rfam family "Bacterial small subunit ribosomal RNA", at positions 42 to 219 of the family's 1533-position model. The record is from RNAcentral. Lineage: Bacteria; Bacillati; Bacillota; Bacilli; Caryophanales; Bacillaceae.
GGGGGUGCUAUACAUGCAGUCGAGCGCGGGAGCGAGCGGAUCCCUUCGGGGUGAAGCUCGUGGAACGAGCGGCGGACGGGUGAGUAACACGUGGGCAACCUGCCUGUAAGAUCGGAAUAACCCCGGGAAACCGGGGCUAAUGCCGGGUAAUACUUUUCUUCGCAUGAAGAUAAGUUGAAAGAUGGCUUCUCGCU